GCCAAUUUCAGAAAGAGAUUUUUGCCAAGAUCCUCUGUGCAUCUAAGGUUUAAAUUGAUUUGACGUCUGUUUGAGGCUAGUUGAUGUGACUUAUCAACUAUAUGUCAACUCUACUCGGGAGAAACAAACUACCCACCAAACGCGGCUGAUUGACGCCUAUGAGCAGACGCCUCAUACCGUCAAAUGCAUACACGUGUCCCACAUCCAACAGUUCAUCCCACCUAUAAAUACUCAAGAUUUGGCAAGAGGCAAAGGUAAUGAAACUCUUACUACAUAGCACUCCACAGCAAGUUUAUAUAUUUUCUCCUCUUCCUUAUUAUUAUUUUG
This 327-nucleotide long non-coding RNA is filed under the name Olea europaea (common olive). Its description in RNAcentral is "long non-coding RNA (OEUR_LNC001137)". The record is from RNAcentral. Lineage: Eukaryota; Viridiplantae; Streptophyta; Magnoliopsida; Lamiales; Oleaceae.